UUGGAUGCGCGACCCUGCAGGUGC
RNAcentral lists this microRNA (24 nucleotides) under Canis lupus familiaris (dog). Its description in RNAcentral is "cfa-miR-8795". Lineage: Eukaryota; Metazoa; Chordata; Mammalia; Carnivora; Canidae. The record is from miRBase by way of RNAcentral.